Fragaria vesca subsp. vesca is the source of this 3154-nucleotide RNA transcript. It is a transcript of the gene named probable LRR receptor-like serine/threonine-protein kinase At3g47570-like, with no coding region annotated. The record is from RefSeq and is a predicted model, not a curated record. The transcript is spliced from 2 exons. Lineage: Eukaryota; Viridiplantae; Streptophyta; Magnoliopsida; Rosales; Rosaceae.
AUGGAGCUUCAAAUGCUCAACUUCUGUGCAUUUUGCUCUACCUAUCUUCAUGUCAUAACCACACUUUUCCUAUUCAGCAACCUUUUCCAACCUACCGUCGUUGCAAAUGCAUUGAGCAAUGAAACUGAUCGAUUCACUUUGCUCAAGUUCAAAGAUUCCAUAGCCACUGAUCCACAUGGAUUCUUAAACUCAUGGAACGGCUCUCUUCACUUCUGCAACUGGCAUGGAAUUACUUGCGGUGCAAGACAUCAAAGAGUUACAGGCUUGAACCUUUCAGACAAUGGUUUGAAAGGAAUCAUAUCACCGUUCAUCGGAAACAUGUCUUUUCUAAGGUCCAUCAACCUUGGAAAUAACAGCUUCUCUGGAAAAAUCCCACAAGUUGAUCAUUUGUCCCGACUGCGGCAUCUCAAUCUGAGUUACAACAUGUUGGAGGGGGAAAUACCAGUAAACCUGACCUUCUGCUUCCAACUCAACAUCAUAGAUUUUGGAACAAACCACCUUGACCAAAAAAUUCCUUCAGAGCUUGGUUCCUUGAUGAAGCUUGUGUUUCUCAAUCUUGAGAAAAACAAUCUGACUGGAAGCAUCCCACCUUCCUUGGGAAAUCUUUCAUCAAUCACUCUACUUUCCUUGGGACAGAACAAUUUGGUGGGCAACGUACCGGAGGAAAUAGGCCGAUUGAGAAGCUUAUCUAGCUUUGUUAUUGGUAUCAAUAAUCUCUCGGGUACGAUACCUCUCUCCCUUUUUAACAUAUCAUCUAUGAAACGCAUCUCAAUUGUAUGUAAUAAGUUUAAGGGAAGUUUUUCACCUAGCAUAGGCCUAGACAUGCCUAAUCUCCAAAUAAUGGCCCUCGGCGGAAAUGAAUAUUCUGGACAAAUCCCAGCCUCAUUUUCCAAUGCUUCUCAGCUUCAAAUACUUGAUAUUGCUGACAAUAAUUUUGUGGGGCAAGUUCCUACAAGUCUCGGAAAUCUUCCAAAUCUCAGGUGGCUCAAUGUAGGUCGAAAUAAUAUGGGAAGUAAUUCCACUAGUGACUUCGUUUUUAUAACAUCUUGACAAAUUGCAGCAAACUGAAGUUUCUGGAUUUCAACUCCAACAAUUUUGGAGGAGUUUUACCCAACUCUGUAGCCAAUUUAUCAAUCCAGCUCGAUACAUUCUACCUGGGAAGAAAUCAAAUAUCAGGAAUGAUUCCUUCAACAUUAGCAAAUUUAAACAAUUUAAUAGUGUUGGGCCUGAACGAGAACCUGUUCACAGGAGUCAUUCCUAGAUCUCUUGGGAAGUUACAAGAGCUGCAACGAUUGGGUUUACAUGAAAACAGAUUAUCAGGAGAACUCCCAUUUUUCAUGGGAAACCUCACUAAUUUAUUUGAACUAGAUUUAUCAGGAAAUAACUUAGAGGGAAGCAUUUCUCCAAGUAUCACUAGGUCAUGCCCAAAUUUGCAGUACUUGAGCCUUUCGCAUAAUAAGCUUAGCGGAGAUAUUCCACCAGAUGUUAUUGGUCUUUCCUCAUUUCUCUAUCUGAACUUGUCACAAAACUCAUUAACUGGUAGUCUGCCUGUAGAAGUGGGUAAGCUGAAGAAUAUCAAUACACUGGACCUCUCUAGUAAUAAUUUGACUGGAGGAAUUCCAGAAAAUAUUGCAGGCUGUCAGAGACUUGAAUUUCUUUCGUUACGAGGGAAUCUCUUUCAAGGAAUCAUACCUUCUUCUUUGGCUUCUUUGAGAGGUAUUCUGUAUCUAGAUCUUUCACAGAACAACUUGUCAGGACUUAUACCGGAAGACCUGCAAACACUUCCAUUCUUGACCUAUUUGAAUCUUUCGUCCAAUAACUUAGAGGGUGAAGUACCGAAAGAAGGAGUUUUUGGAAACACAAGUGCAAUAUCAUGGGAUGGAAAUACCAAACUUUGUGGUGGUGUUUCGGAAUUGCAGCUACCGCCAUGCCUCAUCAAAGUACCAGAGAAGAGAAAGUUGCAUGGUUUCAAACUGAAGUUGACAAUUUCUUUAGUUGUGGUAUGUUGCUUUCUAUUUGCAGUCAUCAUCUUAGCUAUUUAUUGGAGGAGAAAAACUCAAAAGAUCAAGAAACCAAUAUCUGCAGCAUCAUCAAUCACCUUCCUUUCAAAGGUUACAUACCAGACACUUCAUCAAGCUACUGGAGGAUUCUCUAUGAGCAAUCAAAUCGGAUCAGGCGGUUUCGGCUCUGUAUACAAAGGGAUUCUUGAUCAAGAAGAAAACAAAGUUGUUGCGAUAAAGGUCUUCAACCUUCAACAAAAAGGAGCUUCUAAAAGUUUCAUAGCUGAAUGCAAUGCACUAAAAAAUAUUCGGCAUAGGAAUCUUGUUAAGAUCUUAACAUGUUGCUCUAGCACAGAUUACAACGGUAAAGAAUUCAAAGCUUUAGUUUUUGAGUACAUGUCAAAUGGAAGUUUAGAGGAGUGGCUGCACAGAGAAAACCAAUUAGGGAGUUUGGACCUUCUUCAAAGACUGAAUAUUGCUGUUGAUGUGGCGUCUGCAUUGUGUUAUCUUCAUGACCAUUGUGAUCCACAAAUCAUUCACUGUGACAUGAAGCCAAGCAAUGUUCUUCUUGAUGACGACAUGGUUGCUCGUGUCGGUGAUUUUGGUUAGCAAGACUCAUCCCACUGACCACGGAGUCCUUCGAAAAUCAAAGUAGAACAGCUGGGAUAAAGGGAACCAUUGGCUAUGCUGCUCCAGAGUAUGCAGUUGGUGUUGAGCCAUCAAAACAAGGGGAUGUAUAUAGUUAUGGGAUCCUUCUAUUGCAAUUGUUCACAGGAAAAAGACCUACUGAUGAAAUGUUUGUAGACGGUUGCAAUAUACAUACUUAAGUUAAGACGGCGAUACAUGGAAGAAUUAUGGAAAUUGUUGAUCCUGCUCUUAUUGCCACUCUGGAUCAAGAGACUGCAACUUCAAGAACAGACAAUGAAGUGACUGACGUCCGUGGUUACAACAAAGAAAUCCAAGCUGAUGAAGAUAACGUUGACACUGAGAAUCUAAGCACAAUGAAAUAUAACGUGUGGAACUGCAUACUUCCAACCCUUAAGAUUGGGCUUGCAUGCUCAGAAGAAUCACCAAGGAAGAGGAUGUCUAUGGAGGAGGUUCACAGGGAGCUAAACCAUAUAAAAAGUGCUUAUAGUACUAGUGUUGAGUGUUGA